Molecule: long non-coding RNA, 275 nt
Organism: Homo sapiens (human)
Lineage: Eukaryota; Metazoa; Chordata; Mammalia; Primates; Hominidae
Exons: 3
Source: RefSeq, a predicted model, not a curated record
CGGGACAACCAGAGUCACCCGGAAGACGCGGACACUGGACUGCCAGGCCCUCGGAUCCGGAUUCCGCGCUUGUGUGGAGUCUGGAGCCGGAAACUCCAGUAUGAUUAUGAAAGCCCUCAAGUGAGACCAGCUCAGGUAAAGAGGAUUAUGCUCAACAAGCAAGAACAAACCUUCACCUUUCUACAAUCCUUAGUACAGCAUUAUACAGUCUAUUGCCUGCCAUCUCUGAUUUCCUAUAGUGGGAACAACUUCAUUAAAAAAAAAAAAAAAAAAAA